RNAcentral lists this ribosomal RNA (1040 nucleotides) under uncultured archaeon. RNAcentral describes it as "bacterial SSU rRNA". It matches the Rfam family "Archaeal small subunit ribosomal RNA", at positions 10 to 1054 of the family's 1478-position model. The record is from RNAcentral.
UAUCCUGCCAGAGGCCACUGCUAUCGGGGUUCGACUUAGCCAUGCGAGUCGAGAGGGUUCGGCCCUCGGCGUACUGCUCAGUAACACGUGGACAACCUGCCCUAAGGUGAGGGAUAACCCCGGGAAACUGGGGAUGAUACCUCAUAAUCUACAGAUGCUGGAAUGCCCUGUAGGUAAAAGGUCAGCCGCCUUAGGAUGGGUCUGCGGCCGAUUAGGUAGUUGUUGGGGUAAUGGCCCAACAAGCCUGUAAUCGGUACGGGUUGUGGGAGCAAGAGCCCGGAGAUGGAUUCUGAGACAAGAAUCCAGGCCCUACGGGGCGCAGCAGGCGCGGAAACUUUACAAUGCAGGAAACUGUGAUAAGGGAACCCCGAGUGCCCGUAUGGACGUGCUGUUCAGGUGCGUAAAAAACACCUGGAGAAAGGGCCGGGCAAGACCGGUGCCAGCCGCCGCGGUAAUACCGGCGGCUCGAGUGGUGGCCACUAUUACUGGGCUUAAAGCGUCCGUAGCUGGGUAGUUAAGUCUCUUGGGAAAUCUUCCGGCUCAACCGGAAGGCGUCUAAGGGAUACUGGCUACCUAGGGAUCGGGAGAGGUGAGAGGUACUCUGGGGGUAGGAGUGAAAUCCUGUAAUCCUUAGGGGACCACCUGUGGCGAAGGCGUCUCACCAGAACGACUCCGACAGUGAGGGACGAAAGCUGGGGGAGCAAACCGGAUUAGAUACCCGGGUAGUCCCAGCUGUAAACUAUGCGUGUUAGGUGUAUCGGUGACCACGAGUUACCGAGGUGCCGAAGGGAAACCGUGAAACGCGUCGCCUGGGAAGUACGGUCGCAAGGCUGAAACUUAAAGGAAUUGGCGGGGGAGCACCACAACGGGUGGAGCCUGCGGUUUAAUUGGACUCAACGCCGGACAGCUCACCGGGUAGGACAGCGAUAUGAUAGCCGGGCUGAAGACCUUGCUUGAUCAGCUGAAGAGGAGGUGCAUGGGCCGUCGUCCAGUUCGUACUUGUGAAGCAUCCUGUUAAGUCAGGCAACGAGCGAGACCCA